GGUUACUGCUAUCGGUGUUCGCCUAAGCCAUGCGAGUCAUAUGUUCUUCGGAACAUGGCGUACUGCUCAGUAACACGUGGAUAACCUGCCCUUGGGUCCGGCAUAACCCCGGGAAACUGGGGAUAAUUCCGGAUAACGCACAUAUGCUGGAAUGCUUUAUGCGUCAAAUGGAUUCGUCCGCCCAAGGAUGGGUCUGCGGCCUAUCAGGUAGUAGUGGGUGUAAUGUACCUACUAGCCUACGACGGGUACGGGUUGUGAGAGCAAGAGCCCGGAGAUGGAUUCUGAGACAUGAAUCCAGGCCCUACGGGGCGCAGCAGGCGCGAAAACUUUACAAUGCGGGAAACCGUGAUAAGGGGACACCGAGUGCCAGCAUCAUAUGCUGGCUGUCCGGGUGUGUAAAAUACACCUGUUAGCAAGGGCCGGGCAAGACCGGUGCCAGCCGCCGCGGUAACACCGGCGGCCCGAGUGGUGAUCGUGAUUAUUGGGUCUAAAGGGUCCGUAGCCGGUUUGGUCAGUCCUCCGGGAAAUCUGACGGCUU
This 538-nucleotide ribosomal RNA is filed under the name uncultured archaeon. Its description in RNAcentral is "bacterial SSU rRNA". It matches the Rfam family "Archaeal small subunit ribosomal RNA", at positions 21 to 560 of the family's 1478-position model. The record is from RNAcentral.